CUUGGCGACCAUAGCGCUUUGGACCCACCUGAAUUCCAUUCCGAACUCAGAAGUGAAACGAAGUA
Molecule: ribosomal RNA, 65 nt
Filed under: Vibrio owensii
Lineage: Bacteria; Pseudomonadati; Pseudomonadota; Gammaproteobacteria; Vibrionales; Vibrionaceae
Source: RNAcentral